AGUUGAUCAUGGCUCAGGAUGAACGCUAGCUACAGGCUUAACACAUGCAAGUCGAGGGGCAGCAUGGAGUUGCUUGCAAACUCUGAUGGCGACCGGCGCACGGGUGAGUAACGCGUAUCCAACCUUCCCUAUAGUAGAGGAUAGCCCGGCGAAAGUCGGAUUAAUACUCUAUGUUUUCCGUUGCAGACAUCUAAGAUGGAACAAAGGCUUGCCGCUAUAGGAUGGGGGAUGCGUCUGAUUAGGUAGUCGGCGGGGUAACGGCCCACCGAGCCAUCGAUCAGUAGGGGUUCUGAGAGGAAGGUCCCCCACAUUGGAACUGAGACACGGUCCAAACUCCUACGGGAGGCAGCAGUGAGGAAUAUUGGUCAAUGGACGAGAGUCUGAACCAGCCAAGUAGCGUGCAGGACGACGGCCCUAUGGGUUGUAAACUGCUUUUAUGCGGGGAUAAAGUUCACUACGUGUAGUGUUUUGUAGGUACCGCAUGAAUAAGGACCGGCUAAUUCCGUGCCAGCCGCAGC
Molecule: ribosomal RNA, 518 nt
Filed under: uncultured bacterium
Lineage: Bacteria
Description: bacterial SSU rRNA
Rfam family: Bacterial small subunit ribosomal RNA
Source: RNAcentral